UACACUUCUACUGGGGAACGAGUCUCACCGUACUCCAAUCAUGGGAUUCUUGGGAGGGUCACAGGAAUGGGCUUAUUACCAGAGCAUGGACAAUAGAAAACCAUGGACAAUAGAAAACUCCUGACUACAGUGAAUAGAUCAGGGAAAAUCUUAAGAUUGCCACCAGGAUCCAACAUCCCAUGGACUUUGGAGUCAGUUGGAGCUGGGUUUGAAUCCCAUGUCUACAUUUACUACAUAUGUAACCCGCUGCUUCUCUGCAGAUUCACCAUGCUGUUCCUGUGGGAGAGCCAUCCACAUGUGUGUGCCUGUUCCCCUUCUUCGCCUCCCACUCUGGGAGCAGAGAGCCAGGAGGUCGCCGCUAAUCCGCCAUUUUUUUUCUCUCUCAGAGAAGUGUUAUUCUCUGAAAAGAAGAGGUAAGAACAUACGGUCUCCUACUCCAGGCCAGAGCUUGGGCACAACAGCUUCUUCCCCAGAGGGACUGAGCAUUCUAGGAGAAGCUGCUGGAUUGAUCAUCUCCAAGACAAGUUCACAAACGUUCACAUUUGUGUGUGUCUGCCCCCAGUGCAUCUUUUCCCUCUGCUCCUUUGCUCACUUCUCUUCUGAAAAAGUGGCAGGUAUCAUUGUUUUGAUAGUCUGGAUGGGGUGGCCCCAUUUUUCAAUUUCCUGACAACAUCUUCCUUGAAGAGACUCUCCCUGCCUGCUGUCUUUUGUCGUCUGCCGCUGUCUGCAUCCUGCUCAAGGACAGCCUCAGAGGGGGAGAUUGGCCUCAUGCUAGCAAAAUUAGCUGCUGCAGGACCAGAUUUCAUUUUCACCCACUACAAAUCCCAGGAAAGAGAGAGCAUCUUUUCCCCAAUGUUCCAAGGAAAUGCUUUGAGAUUCACUCCAUUUGGACCACUUUGGGUCACCUGCCAACCCUGGAACCAAUCACUGAGGCCAGAGGGAUGGAAUACACUGAUUGGCUUCUCCCAGGUCACAUGUCCUAUGCCCACAGCCAGGUAUGGUGCCAUCUUUUCCAGAACAACAUGAGUCCUCAGAUGGGAUUUGAUGCUGUUAGGCGGGAGUGAGGUGAGGGGGAGAAUAGCUGCUGGAAAGCUCGGACACAUGAUGGAUGCCUACUCCACCCAUGAGUGACAGGCAGCACUGGUAGAGACCAUGCUGAUUCAUGAACUGUUAUUUGUCACAACAAGAUAAGAACAGAAAUUGAGGGUAUUUAGAAAUGUUUAGGGAAGUUUAACAUAUGUGUAACAUCCAAGUGUGUGAUGAGUGGACUCAUCUUGUUGAAUAGGGUAUAUAGAUCACAAGCAUUGGUUUAUGACAGAUUUGAAAAAAGAAUUGGUCUUUCUUGAUAAGUAAUUUGAGAAGUACAGCCUUAAACUCUGUGCCUUGCAGGUUGUCUGCUGUUAGAAGAUUGGUUUCAUGUUCAGCUGGAAUAGGGAUAAGGUGUGUCGGAUUGGAAGGAGUGCUGAGAAUAGUAAAAGAAUAGCUGCAUUGGUUUACAAGUUGAAAUCAUCAUAGCCCACCUAUCCAGGCUUUCUGUACAGUGUAAUGAUUAAAAGUGAAGUCUUUGGAAUAAGACUCAGGUUCAAAUCUCACUUCUAACAUUUUCUAGCUAUACCAUCUUGGGUAAAGUACUAGGAAUAUUUGAACCUCAGUUUCCUCCUCUGUAAAGUGGGCUAGCACUCAGGUUGCUAUAAAGCGCCCGAUUAAUGGUAGCUCUUUCAACAGAGCUCUUCCACCUCCCUGAGCUGUAAGUAGAGGUAAGAGAGAAGGUAUCACUCCUGUUUUAUGAUUAAGAAAUGGAGGUACUGAGGGGCUGUUUCUUCCUAAGAAUUUAUGCUCCAUUCAGUUUUAUCUUAGAGUUUUGUGAUUGGGCUAUAGAUAGAAAGUCUGAACUAAAAUUUUUUAGAUUUAUGCCCUAGAACUGGGUACAUUGGGAAAUUUGGGUGUAAAUUGGCCUGAUGUCAAGAUGCUAUGAGUGUCCUGAUUCAUCUGGAGCUGUUUCCAAACACUAAUAGGUAGUUUCUACAGAUUACAGGAUACCAAGAACCUACAACAAGAAGAAAAUAUCAAGUAAUUGGGAAUGAUUUGGUGUAAAGUUUCCAUUCGCAGGCUUCUUGUCUCUUUUGAUAAUGUCUUUACUACUUGUUAUGGGAUGUGGGUUUUUCUAGUGGCAAAAGAGGUAAAGGGGAUUGUGAAGGUGGCAUUGUAGCUUCACAAAACUUGGUUUACGUUUCCUCCUGUGAGUAUAGCUUUAAAUGUCUCAUUGCCUGUUGUCAUGAUACCAGAGGUUUUUCUGAGAACAAUGGAGUUUCCUAAGGUUCUGCUAGCAAGAUUGUCCUUUGUCCUCAUUCCUCACAAAUCCAGUGAGGAUAAGUCAUUUUCCUGCUAAAACUAUUAUUUCUUUGGGACUAAUAUUCCAAAGAAUGUUCAAUGAAUUGGGCCUAAAAUCAUCAGAGGGAGCAUUAAGAGGAAGACUAAGAGCUACCUAUGGAACCAGAGGUAACUGGAGACUGACAAUCACCACAAUCUUGAGUUCCCACCAGAGAUACCCCUCCCAUGAGCAAAGGCAAGCGGUCAAAAAGGGCUUUGCAUUUUCAGAUGAAGUGAUCUUAUGUCAAGGAUUUACUUUAAAAUACUCCAUAGCAGGCAUCCUCAAACUACAGCCCGC
Microcebus murinus (gray mouse lemur) is the source of this 2668-nucleotide non-coding RNA. Lineage: Eukaryota; Metazoa; Chordata; Mammalia; Primates; Cheirogaleidae. The record is from RefSeq and is a predicted model, not a curated record.